CAGAGCUUCACAAACAGACUUAAUGCCUUCAUGGAGGUGAUCAUUCACAGAGGAGGAUCGCUUUCUCUGAUAAGGCAGGACUAUUCCACCUCAGCUAAUGUGUGAUUCUUAACACAUUUUCCUGUAUUUGCAGUGGAUUACAAGCUUUAAAAUAUCAACAAGGGAGACGAGAAUCUUCUGCCGAAACAUGGAUGCAGCAGGAGGACUAGAGAGAAGGCACGCCACAGCAACUAGGAAAAUCGUAGGACAAUACCGCAUCGGGGAAUGCUCGGAUUACUGGCCGCAUUUUUCAUCCGUGCAAUUUCCCCAAAGGUAUGCCAUUGAAUUGCCGCCAGAGACAGCGGGAUUGGGGAGCUACCCGCUGGAGUUUCUCUUCAGCUGCCAGGAGUAUUUCUGCAGCUUGGCGGUUCCCAAGCCUACUAAGAGAGAGUGGAUCGGGUUCCUGGUGUCCAGGUUUUGCGGCCCGGCCCGUGACUGGGUGGAGCAGCUGGUGAGUGCUGGGUCGCCAGCCCUCCAUGAUGUCACUCAGUUUACAGAGCUGUUUAUGGAGGAGUUUUCACAGCCUGGACAACUUCGUGGUCUUGAUUUACUGGGGUGGAGAGCCAAUGGACAGCCCCAGGUUGACCCACCAUUCAACCUCUAUUAUGAGGAGAUGGACAGGGCAGCAACCAGCGAUUCACUUCAGUUUCCGGCCAACACGGGGGCGAAAUCCCCGAGAUGUAUGACCGAGGGCUGCGGGAGAGAGACUCAACUUCAAUGUCCCACUUGCAGGAAGCUGGGCCUCCAGGAAGCUUUCUUCUGCUCUCAGGAAUGCUUCAAGAGCAGCUGGCAGGAGCAUAAGAAACUCUACCGGAGAGCCCGUGCAGAGACCCAGCCUGGGACCGACAGGGUGACCUCAGAGCUCGAACCUGAGCCCCACGAGGUGGGCUCACCCGCCAAGCUCCAACAAAAGGUCCAAAUCCAAGUCAAGUCUCACGUCCCUGAGAUCCAGGUCAAGUCUCACGUCCCUGAGAUCUAGGUCAAGUCUCACGUCCCUGAGAUCCAGGUCCAGCCGCCAGCCCCUGAGCUCCAAGCCAAGCCUCCAGUCCCUGAGCUCCAAGCCAAGCCUCCAGUCCCUGAGCUCCAAGCCAAGCCUCCAGUCCCUGAGCUCCAAGCCAAGCCUCCAGUCCCUGAGCUCCAAGCCAAGCCUCCAGUCCCUGAUGUCCAAGUCAAGCCUCCAGUCCCUGAUGUCCAAGUCAAGCCUCAAGUCCCUGAGAUCCAAGUCAAGCCUCAAGUCCCUGAGAUCCAAGUCAAGCCUCCAGUCCCUGAGAUCCAAGUCAAGCCUCAAGUCCCUGAGAUCCAAG
This is a long non-coding RNA of Ictalurus punctatus (channel catfish), 1343 nucleotides long. NCBI's taxonomy places the organism in Eukaryota, Metazoa, Chordata, Actinopteri, Siluriformes, Ictaluridae. The record is from Ensembl.